RNAcentral lists this ribosomal RNA (253 nucleotides) under uncultured bacterium. RNAcentral describes it as "partial 16S ribosomal RNA". It matches the Rfam family "Bacterial small subunit ribosomal RNA", at positions 524 to 776 of the family's 1533-position model. The record is from RNAcentral.
UACGUAGGGCGCAAGCGUUGUCCGGAAUUAUUGGGCGUAAAGAGCUCGUAGGCGGCUCGUUGCGUCAAUCGUGAAAACCUACUGCUUAACGGUGGGCUUGCGGUUGAUACGGGCGGGCUGGAGUUCGGUAGGGGAGACUGGAAUUCCUGGUGUAGCGGUGAAAUGCGUAGAUAUCAGGAGGAACACCGGUGGUGUAAACGGCUUUCUGGACCAUAACUGACGCUGAGGCACGAAAGCGUGGGUAGCAAACAGG